ACCUGGCUGGCUCAGUUGGCAGAGUGUGUGACUCUCGAUCUCAGGGUUGUGGGUUCGAGCCCCACGUUGGGUG
This is a non-coding RNA of Neomonachus schauinslandi (Hawaiian monk seal), 73 nucleotides long. The record is from the annotation of a RefSeq genome assembly. Lineage: Eukaryota; Metazoa; Chordata; Mammalia; Carnivora; Phocidae.